GACGAACGCUGGCGGCGUGCCUAAUACAUGCAAGUAGAACGCUGAAGGAGGAGCUUGCUUCUCUGGAUGAGUUGCGAACGGGUGAGUAACGCGUAGGUAACCUGCCUGGUAGCGGGGGAUAACUAUUGGAAACGAUAGCUAAUACCGCAUAAUAGUAGAUGUUGCAUGACAUUUGCUUAAAAGGUGCAAUUGCAUCACUACCAGGUGGACCUGCGUUGUAUUUGCUAGUUGGUGAGGUAACGGCUCACCAAGGCAACGAUACAUAGCCGACCUGAGAGGGUGAUCGGCCACACUGGGACUGAGACACGGCCCAGACUCCUACGGGAGGCAGCAGUAGGGAAUCUUCGGCAAUGGACGGAAGUCUGACCGAGCAACGCCGCGUGAGUGAAGAAGGUUUUCGGAUCGUAAAGCUCUGUUGUAAGAGAAGAACGAGUGUGAGAGUGGAAAGUUCACACUGUGACGGUAUCUUACCAGAAAGGGACGGCUAACUACGUG
RNAcentral lists this ribosomal RNA (495 nucleotides) under uncultured bacterium. RNAcentral describes it as "partial 16S ribosomal RNA". It matches the Rfam family "Bacterial small subunit ribosomal RNA", at positions 28 to 507 of the family's 1533-position model. The record is from RNAcentral.